This 472-nucleotide long non-coding RNA is filed under the name Vulpes vulpes (red fox). RNAcentral describes it as "lncRNA (ENSVVUG00000016002.1)". Lineage: Eukaryota; Metazoa; Chordata; Mammalia; Carnivora; Canidae. The record is from RNAcentral.
ACUAACCAUCCUUGGAGCCUGAACAGCCAGUGCCUCAUUCUUCCCAUUUGUAAAACUGGGAGAAAAUUAUAAUAUUUGCCUUAGGGGUUACUAGCAAGAAUUAAAAAGUUUAUACAUGUAAAGUGCUUAAAAUAAUGCCUGGUAUAUAAUUUCAAUAAAGAAUGCCUGUCAUUAAAUACCCACCAUUUGCUUCAACGUGGAUGGAACUGGAGGGUAUAACGCUGAGUGAACCCCAGCUUCCAGGAUUUGGGGUGACUACAGUCCAGCUAGCUGUUGUCUGAGGCUCUUGCAUGCUGCCUGCCGACAAUCCUGUCUCUGAAGAACGACAUGACAAUGAGGAAGAGGACUUUUCCAGACUGAAUCUACCACCACUCAUAAUAUGGGUUCAUCUCAGUAUAAUGAUCACUUCUCUGUCUCCCUCCCCCAAUCUUUGUCUUCUCCCAGUUUCUUCUUCAAUAAACAUUGCUACUCU